ACGCUCGACACCUACGGGAGGCCGCAGUGGGGAAUAUUGCACAAUGGGGGAAACCCUGAUGCAGCGACGCCGCGUGAGCGAAGAAGUAUUUCGGUAUGUAAAGCUCUAUCAGCAGGGAAGAUAAUGACGGUACCUGACUAAGAAGCUCCGGCUAAAUACGUGCCAGCAGCCGUCGGUAAUCUGAGCGGGCUGGCAAGGC
This 199-nucleotide ribosomal RNA is filed under the name uncultured bacterium. RNAcentral's name for it is "partial 16S ribosomal RNA". It matches the Rfam family "Bacterial small subunit ribosomal RNA", at positions 328 to 539 of the family's 1533-position model. The record is from RNAcentral.